AUAGGGGAGCCGGAGGGAAACCGAGUCUUAAUUGGGCGUUAAGUUGCAGGGUAUAGACCCGAAACCCGGUGAUCUAGCCAUGGGCAGGUUGAAGGUUGGGUAACACUAACUGGAGGACCGAACCGACUAAUGUUGAAAAAUUAGCGGAUGACCUGUGGCUGGGGGUGAAAGGCCAAUCAAACCGGGAGAUAGCUGGUUCUCCCCGAAAGCUAUUUAGGUAGCGCCUCGUGAAUUCAUCUCCGGGGGUAGAGCACUGUUUCGGCUAGGGGGCCAUCCCGGCUUACCAACCCGAUGCAAACUGCGAAUACCGGAGAAUGUUAUCACGGGAGACACACGGCGGGUGCUAACGUCCGUCGUGAAGAGGGAAACAACCCAGACCGCCAGCUAAGGUCCCAAAGUCAUGGUUAAGUGGGAAACGAUGUGGGAAGGCCCAGACAGCCAGGAUGUUGGCUUAGAAGCAGCCAUCAUUUAAAGAAAGCGUAAUAGCUCACUGGUCGAGUCGGCCUGCGCGGAAGAUGUAACGGGGCUAAACCAUGCACCGAAGCUGCGGCAGCGACACUCAGGUGUCGUUGGGUAGGGGAGCGUUCUGUAAGCCUGCGAAGGUGGCCUGUGAGGGUUGCUGGAGGUAUCAGAAGUGCGAAUGCUGACAUAAGUAACGAUAAAGCGGGUGAAAAGCCCGCUCGCCGGAAGACCAAGGGUUCCUGUCCAACGUUAAUCGGGGCAGGGUGAGUCGACCCCUAAGGCGAGGCCGAAAGGCGUAGUCGAUGGGAAACGGGUUAAUAUUCCCGUACUUGGUGUUACUGCGAAGGGGGGACGGAGAAGGCUAUGUUGGCCGGGCGACGGUUGUCCCGGUUUAAGCGUGUAGGUGUGUGUUCCAGGUAAAUCCGGUUCACUUUAACACUGAGGCGUGACGACGAGGCACUACGGUGCUGAAGCAACAAAUGCCCUGCUUCCAGGAAAAGCCUCUAAGCAUCAGGUAACAUCAAAUCGUACCCCAAACCGACACAGGUGGUCAGGUAGAGAAUACCAAGGCGCUUGAGAGAACUCGGGUGAAGGAACUAGGCAAAAUGGUGCCGUAACUUCGGGAGAAGGCACGCUGACACGUAGGUGAAGUGAUUUACUCAUGGAGCUGAAGUCAGUCGAAGAUACCAGCUGGCUGCAACUGUUUAUUAAAAACACAGCACUGUGCAAACACGAAAGUGGACGUAUACGGUGUGACGCCUGCCCGGUGCCGGAAGGUUAAUUGAUGGGGUCAGCGCAAGCGAAGCUCCUGAUCGAAGCCCCGGUAAACGGCGGCCGUAACUAUAACGGUCCUAAGGUAGCGAAAUUCCUUGUCGGGUAAGUUCCGACCUGCACGAAUGGCGUAAUGAUGGCCAGGCUGUCUCCACCCGAGACUCAGUGAAAUUGAACUCGCUGUGAAGAUGCAGUGUACCCGCGGCAAGACGGAAAGACCCCGUGAACCUUUACUAUAGCUUGACACUGAACAUUGAGCCUUGAUGUGUAGGAUAGGUGGGAGGCUUUGAAGUGUGGACGCCAGUCUGCAUGGAGCCGGCCUUGAAAUACCACCCUUUAAUGUUUGAUGUUCUAACGUGGACCCGUGAUCCGGGUUGCGGACAGUGUCUGGUGGGUAGUUUGACUGGGGCGGUCUCCUCCUAAAGAGUAACGGAGGAGCACGAAGGUUGGCUAAUCCUGGUCGGACAUCAGGAGGUUAGUGCAAUGGCAUAAGCCAGCUUGACUGCGAGCGUGACGGCGCGAGCAGGUGCGAAAGCAGGUCAUAGUGAUCCGGUGGUUCUGAAUGGAAGGGCCAUCGCUCAACGGAUAAAAGGUACUCCGGGGAUAACAGGCUGAUACCGCCCAAGAGUUCAUAUCGACGGCGGUGUUUGGCACCUCGAUGUCGGCUCAUCACAUCCUGGGGCUGAAGUAGGUCCCAAGGGUAUGGCUGUUCGCCAUUUAAAGUGGUACGCGAGCUGGGUUUAGAACGUCGUGAGACAGUUCGGUCCCUAUCUGCCGUGGGCGCUGGAGAACUGAGGGGGGCUGCUCCUAGUACGAGAGGACCGGAGUGGACGCAUCACUGGUGUUCGGGUUGUCAUGCCAAUGGCACUGCCCGGUAGCUAAAUGCGGAAGAGAUAAGUGCUGAAAGCAUCUAAGCACGAAACUUGCCCCGAGAUGAGUUCU
Molecule: ribosomal RNA, 2175 nt
Filed under: Salmonella enterica subsp. enterica serovar Pomona
Lineage: Bacteria; Pseudomonadati; Pseudomonadota; Gammaproteobacteria; Enterobacterales; Enterobacteriaceae
Description: bacterial LSU rRNA
Rfam family: Bacterial large subunit ribosomal RNA
Source: RNAcentral